GGAUCAGUGGCGAACGGGUGAGUAACACGUGAGCAACCUGCCCCUGACUCUGGGAUAAGCGCUGGAAACGGCGUCUAAUACUGGAUAUGUGACGUGACCGCAUGGUCUGCGUUUGGAAAGAUUUUUCGGUUGGGGAUGGGCUCGCGGCCUAUCAGCUUGUUGGUGAGGUAAUGGCUCACCAAGGCGUCGACGGGUAGCCGGCCUGAGAGGGUGACCGGCCACACUGGGACUGAGACACGGCCCAGACUCCUACGGGAGGCAGCAGUGGGGAAUAUUGCACAAUGGGCGAAAGCCUGAUGCAGCAACGCCGCGUGAGGGAUGACGGCCUUCGGGUUGUAAACCUCUUUUAGCAGGGAAGAAGCGAAAGUGACGGUACCUGCAGAAAAAGCGCCGGCUAACUACGUGCCAGCAGCCGCGGUAAUACGUAGGGCGCAAGCGUUAUCCGGAAUUAUUGGGCGUAAAGAGCUCGUAGGCGGUUUGUCGCGUCUGCUGUGAAAUCCCGAGGCUCAACCUCGGGCCUGCAGUGGGUACGGGCAGACUAGAGUGCGGUAGGGGAGAUUGGAAUUCCUGGUGUAGCGGUGGAAUGCGCAGAUAUCAGGAGGAACACCGAUGGCGAAGGCAGAUCUCUGGGCCGUAACUGACGCUGAGGAGCGAAAGGGUGGGGAGCAAACAGGCUUAGAUACCCUGGUAGUCCACCCCGUAAACGUUGGGAACUAGUUGUGGGGUCCAUUCCACGGAUUCCGUGACGCAGCUAACGCAUUAAGUUCCCCGCCUGGGGAGUACGGCCGCAAGGCUAAAACUCAAAGGAAUUGACGGGGACCCGCACAAGCGGCGGAGCAUGCGGAUUAAUUCGAUGCAACGCGAAGAACCUUACCAAGGCUUGACAUAUACGAGAACGGGCCAGAAAUGGUCAACUCUUUGGACACUCGUAAACAGGUGGUGCAUGGUUGUCGUCAGCUCGUGUCGUGAGAUGUUGGGUUAAGUCCCGCAACGAGCGCAACCCUCGUUCUAUGUUGCCAGCACGUAAUGGUGGGAACUCAUGGGAUACUGCCGGGGUCAACUCGGAGGAAGGUGGGGAUGACGUCAAAUCAUCAUGCCCCUUAUGUCUUGGGCUUCACGCAUGCUACAAUGGCCGGUACAAAGGGCUGCAAUACCGUGAGGUGGAGCGAAUCCCAAAAAGCCGGUCCCAGUUCGGAUUGAGGUCUGCAACUCGACCUCAUGAAGUCGGAGUCGCUAGUAAUCGCAGAUCAGCAACGCUGCGGUGAAUACGUUCCCGGGUCUUGUACACAC
This 1290-nucleotide ribosomal RNA is filed under the name Microbacterium sp. H5. Its description in RNAcentral is "bacterial SSU rRNA". It matches the Rfam family "Bacterial small subunit ribosomal RNA", at positions 89 to 1390 of the family's 1533-position model. The record is from RNAcentral. Lineage: Bacteria; Bacillati; Actinomycetota; Actinomycetes; Micrococcales; Microbacteriaceae.